CCUACGGGUGGCAGCAGUGGGGAAUAUUGGACAAUGGGCGAAAGCCUGAUCCAGCCAUGCCGCGUGUGUGAAGAAGGCCUUCGGGUUGUAAAGCACUUUCAGUGGGGAAGAAAGCCUUGGGGCUAAUACCCUCGAGGAAGGACAUCACCCACAGAAGAAGCACCGGCUAACUCCGUGCCAGCAGCCGCGGUAAUGCGGAGGGUGCGAGCGUUAAUCGGAAUUACUGGGCGUAAAGCGCGCGUAGGCGGUCUGAUAAGCCGGUUGUGAAAGCCCCGGGCUCAACCUGGGAACGGCAUCCGGAACUGUCAGGCUAGAGUGCAGGAGAGGAAGGUAGAAUUCCCGGUGUAGCGGUGAAAUGCGUAGAGAUCGGGAGGAAUACCAGUGGCGAAGGCGGCCUUCUGGACUGACACUGACGCUGAGGUGCGAAAGCGUGGGUAGCAAACAGGAUUAGAUACCCGAGUAGUC
Molecule: ribosomal RNA, 465 nt
Filed under: Vreelandella stevensii
Lineage: Bacteria; Pseudomonadati; Pseudomonadota; Gammaproteobacteria; Oceanospirillales; Halomonadaceae
Description: partial 16S ribosomal RNA
Rfam family: Bacterial small subunit ribosomal RNA
Source: RNAcentral